AGCUAAAUUUUUAAUGUCUGAUCAGACUGCUCCUGGGAGAGUUAGGCACUGCAAAACAAGCUUAACUUGUAAUAUACACAUUGACCACGAACCAUGGACAAAAGGCAGCAUGAUAUUUUGAAGAGUUGCAAAGGCUUCAUGAUCAAGCAUGUACCAGAAAAUCCAUACUGAUAGUUACAUUAACAUUGAUAUCCUCUUAAGAAAUAUCCCUGCUAAGUAAAAUUCUAACUAAAUGUUACAAAUCUUAGUUUUCCUAGGAUCCUAUAUAGAAUCAAUGCUAGUAUUUCGAUACACAUGAAUUGUAAAACAUCAUGGUUUUCAGGGUAAUUUGAGACUAACACCAAGCACUAUCCAUAAAGCAGUAUUAAAAACAGACUUAAAAGUGCAUUUUUGCUAACAAAAGUCACAAUGUUUCUGCCUAACAGCCGGUGGAGAAACUAUAUUACCUGUAUAUCCAUUUCAAGCUUAAUACUUCAACUGAUGACAUCAAAGUGAGCUCCAGAGUAGGACCAAUGCCAGAAUACGCAUUAGAGAUUGCCACCUCUGAUUUAAGAUUCUUUUGACCAGUCAGAAAGAAACAUUUUGCUUUCUAGCUGAAUCUUUUACCAUUUGAAUAGGCUGAAAUUUAAUGCAGACUAUUUCAAAUUUGAGCACACCUGAUGAAAUAUAAAACAUGAAUCGGUUUAAGACUUCAGAAUACCACAGACUUAUUGCAGACAUAUCACUGUAUUCAGCUGUAUAAUCACCCAGCGCUUUUUUGCUGAGCACUUGCAUUAAAACUGCUUUGUGUAUAAAUGAAAUUUGUCUUUCAAACUGAGGUUUUUUCAGAAUUACCUUCAAGAGUGUGAUACAACUCCCCUGCAGCUUUUUUGGACAUUGGCUCCCUCUCCUGUUCAUUGAGCGCAAGCAAGAAACUGACCAAGUGCAGCCAAUUAAAGACAUUUCUCAGCACUUCCAUCGUUGUUAUUUGGAAGCAUGUUUCUGAGGAUGACAAGAAAAGAUUUUCUUAAGCAUCCAGUUGAAACUGAACCUUUUUCAUUGAAUUAAAAGCAAAAAAAAAAAAAAAAAAAAUUGAAACCAUGUAGAAGGAUUCUUCAAGUAAAGUCUUUACCUUUAGAGUCCACAUUAGAGAUGUACAUCUUAGAGUCCACUGCAGAGUUAAGAGAUGUCUAAAUAAAUACUACAUUUGAAUAGUAACAUACAAGAAGCUACAUGCAGUUCAGACAUGAAAUGUAUAUAUAGUAACAGCAGUAUAUAUGUAUGCAUAAAUGUAUAUAUAGUAACAGUAAUGUGAAAUGAAAAAGAGUAAGACCAAAUGGGCAAGCUAACCAGCGACCAGCAACAAUUUGUACAUGAGAAUUAAAAUUAUUCACUAUGGCAAAAAUUUGUGGAAUAGAAACUGUGGUACCUUUCCUUUAAAAAUACCCCUGGAAGGAAUAUAGACCUAAUAUCUAAUAUUCAGAGGAAUUGUCCCUCUAAUUGUCACUGGUGAAGCUGCACCACAAGUCCUGUGUCCACCUCUGGGCCCUCUCACUACAGGAAAAACAUUGAGGUGCUGGAGCAACUCCAGAGAAGGGCAACAAAGCUGGUGAAGGAUCUGGUGAAAAGAACAAGUCCUGCAAGGAAAUCUGAGGGACCUGGGGUUGGGAGUAUUCAGCCUGGAGAAAAGCAGGCUCAGUGGAGACCUUAUCACUCUCUACAACUGCCUGAAAGGAGGUUGUAACCAAGUGAGCCUCUUUUCCCAUACAAGAAGAAACAGGAGGACACAGCCUCAAGCUGUUCCAGGGGAGGUUCAGGUUGGACAUCAGGAUGAAUUUCUUCAAGGAAAGGGUUGUUAAGCACUGGAAUGGACUGCUCAGGGAGGUGAUAGUCACCAUUCCUGGAGGUGUUCAAGAACAACUGGACAUUGUUUGCACUUAGAGCCCAGCUGGCAAGGUGGUGGCUGGCCACUGGUUGGACCUGAUAAUCUUGGAGGUCUUUUUCAGCUGAAAUGAUUCAGUGAUUCUGUGAUCAGUAACAAAUAAAUUGACUAAAUAACUGGAACUAAAAUUACAGAAUCUGAUAGGAAACAUGGCAAGGUAUGGAGAAGUCUGAUUUCCUUUCCUCUCUGCUCUCCAAACAAAAAAAUCAACAGUAAAAGUAGAAAUAUGAUACAUACUGCCAGGGAAAGGCGGCUUACAGUCAAUGUAGGAGCACUCCUGCAAUGAAAUCUGCGUAAGAGCACCAGAUUAUUGAGGGUACUGGUUCCACAUAGGUGACAACCAUGAUAUUUUUAAAAUGCAGUGCGUGUGCAUCUUUCUUCUUAUCCCUAUACAUCAGGGAAUGCUCAUAUAAUCAUAUUGUAUUUCAUAGUAAAAAAAUAAACCCUGAGGCACAGUGAAGGUAAAAGCCACACAAAACUACCUGCUUUCGUUAGCUCUUAAAGAUUUAGAAUUAAAAAACACCAGUAAAAGGCAAUGUCCCAUAUCUUAAGAACUAUGAGACAUCUUAACAAGAAAUUGUCACCAGACACUCGUAACUGAAUGGGGCCAUCAGAAGUCAAUUUCUGUGAAUUAUUCUAAGGGUGAAAAUACAGCUUGGUAUUUCUGCUAAUAGCUUUUCAUUUGAGUGCUUAUGACCAGAAGACUGGUAGUGGGUAAGACAGGGACAGGACAGACUUACACACAAAAAUAUGCUUUAACACGUAGAGGAAAGGGAAGAUGGAUCUGGAGAGUGGGCGAUUCUGAAAGGAAAAGAAGCUGUGGCUCACAUUGCAUAAGCAAGCUGCAUUGAACAGCUUUAAUGAGAUGUAAAACCAGCAGAGUUAAUGACUUCUGAUUUCCACUGACAGGUUUAUUUUUAUCCAAGGGUGUUUAAAAUUAAAUGCAUAAAUAACCUAGAGAGAGCACACCUCCCCUGCUCCCAGGUAUGUAUUUUGAACACUUUGUUAUAGCUAGUUCAUCUUUUGCUAAUUUUCUUUUUAGCUUUCCUUUUGCAUAAUGACAGCUUCAAGAGAGGCACAGAGCAUCUUCUUCCCGGUACACAGGUUCAGUCUGUUGGUUAUAGCAGCCUUUUGGAAACUGAGGAUGUGAAUCUGAAUGGUGCUACAAAAGCAAACACCACCCACUUCUUUUACCUCCUGUGACACUGACUUCUAAGCAGAAAGCAAACAUUCAAAAGGUGACCAUCAUAUUUUCUGUAUUUCAGAUCAAAAGAACAAUCCUGGAAAAAACCACACAAGUACUCACAUGUAAGGUCUAAAUCAUGAGCAGAGUGACAGCUACCUGGAGUCCUGAUUCAGCAUUCGCAGCACUGGGAAGGGGCAGGAUUUCAUGCUCUUUCCCAGGGUUAACGUGUUCUACUGCUAGCUCUGGGCUGCUCACCUCCCAGAAUAAUCUGGUUUUCAGGACAUCAGUUUGAAAUGGUUCAACCCAUCCUCUAUGUAGUAAAUCAGACUUGUGUUGCCUUUAGCCCUGGAUGAGAUUUCAGAACGUGUUUUGGAUAAAGGCAAAUGACAAGGCUUAUGAUAGAGGUAAAUGUGUGCAUUUCAAUGGGUUUUGAUAUAUGUGAGAGACUAGAAUAUCUAAUUAUUACCUAUUAGCUGGUUUUGUUCUCCCCCCGAACAGGAAGAGGAUAGUGUACCACAUUUCUUUUAGAA
Taeniopygia guttata (zebra finch) is the source of this 3637-nucleotide long non-coding RNA. The record is from Ensembl. NCBI's taxonomy places the organism in Eukaryota, Metazoa, Chordata, Aves, Passeriformes, Estrildidae.